This is a long non-coding RNA of Homo sapiens (human), 2801 nucleotides long. RefSeq lists it as uncharacterized. The record is from RefSeq and is a predicted model, not a curated record. Lineage: Eukaryota; Metazoa; Chordata; Mammalia; Primates; Hominidae. The transcript has 2 exons.
UCAUAGAAACUUCUUCAAAACCAGUAAUUGAAGGAGACUGUUAAUAAGAUGGAGCCUUAUAUAAUGAAACAUAAUCAUGGGAAUGACAUCUUAUCACCUUUGCCAUAUUUUUUUGGUCAGAAGCAAGUCACAGAUUUCACCUACAUUCAAGGGGAAAGGAUUAUACAAGGACAUGGACUUACAAAAGCAGAGAUUAUUGGACCAUCUUAAAAUCUGUUGGCCCCAUUGAACUUGUUCAAAAUAAACAGAACUAACACAAUUUUCAGGGGAAUCUUAUCCUGAAAUCUUUGUGUUGAGAACAUGUGUGUGUUAACAUUGAGGAUUCCAAAAGUUGAAGGUAAGAGGAAAGCAAUUAAGUUGGGAAAGAAAUAAAAAAGGGUUUUACUACAGACUGCUAAGGUGGAUAUAGAAGAUGCUUUGCUAAUACAGAUGAUGGAGUCAAAUAAGGGAAAAACCAUGAAGGAUAAAAUGGUUAGGAAAAGAUAUGUAGGUGAGAUAAGAUUUAAAAUGAACUCUGAAUAAUGGGUAGAACUUAGAGAAAGAAAGUAGCAUUCUAUUAAGUAGUGAAGGUGUGAAUAGUAUUUGGAAUUGGUAAAAACAUGGAACAUACAGUGGACACCUGGGAGACUGAAGUGAUUCAAUGAUUCUCUACCCUGGCUACACAUUAGGAUCACUUGGAAGUCUUUACAAAUAGUGAUACUCAGCCCAUCUCAGGUGUUCUGUUUUGAUUGCUGUGUGAUGGAGCACAGAUGUCAAUGGUUUAUAAAAGUGAUCCAAGUAAAUUUAGUGUACCUCAGAGAUGAGUGCCACAAGCAUGAUUAAGAGUGUACUCACGUAAAACAAAUUAGUAGGAUACAUAUGUCAAAUAGGAUGAGCUAUAGGUUGCAUAUGAUACCUAGGACAUAGAAAAAAAACUUUGUUUUAGGCUUACUGCUGUUCUUAAUAGCUAUAGAACAUACAUGUUUCAGAUAUCUCUGCUGCAUCAUUUCAGAUCCUCUUUCUUAGCUUCACGCUUUUUUCCCUUUUUUCUUUUUAUUUUUCUUUUUUUCUUCUUUCUUUCUUUCUUUCUUUAUUUUUUCAGCUUUUGUGGUGGCAGGCAGCUCAAUGAGGGCUUUUCUUUACACAGUCCCAAGCAGAGAGUGUCAUCGCCUCCUGCCUGCUCCUAAAGCCUCUCUUUUUGGUUCACUGCCCUGUGCCCUCACCCUGGCCUACAUAAUCCAGAAGUAUAGACAAAUUAAUAUCCUGUGGAGUAAACCUUUGGCCAGUGGGAAACAGGAACCAGUGGAUAAAUCCUUCCUUUUUGUCCACAUAUUGCCCCCAGUAGAGUCCUUGAAUGUACUUUAUAGAGAUAGCUUCUUGGAGGCCGAGUUUCACAAAUCUAGCAUUCUGCUGCACUUAGCAACAGUAAGUUCAACAGCACAAUUGUGUAUUUGUUCUCCUUUAGCUGCUCCACUCUCUUUGUUUCUCUCCUGCUCCCCAGAAUUGUAUCCCUAAUAAAGUGCAAGCAAAUAGCUCCAGAAGCCUCAGCUCUGCUUUCUGCUGAACCCAAGUUAUAAAUGAUGUGAACUUGGAAAAGCUCUAAGGCAGCCCAGGAAAAGGCAGACAAGAAACCAUCAUGAAUGGGUGCUGCAUGAGCAGAGAUUGUCAAGAAAAUGGGAUGGUAAUUUGCAUAGGUCCACAAAGCGAACAUUGAUUUGAAGUGUUCCUGUGAAUGGCCAGUAGACAGGAUAUAGAAACAGACAGGAAAUCAUAAAGUGGAGAAUGGUGUAUAAGAUGGAGUUUCAGCCUGGGGAAGUACAUAAAAUAAUGCCAUGUCAAGGUCAUAAGAACUUCGACAGUCAGGGAGAUGACAAAUAGAAAACUGAUUCAUAAAUCCUGAAAUAAAAUAUUACUACCUAAACUCUAAAUCAGAUGGCCACCAGGUCAAAAAUAAAUUACAAGGUGAAUCUAAUGUAGCUAUGUAAUUAAAAAUUGGCCAUGUUGAUGAGGCAAGAAAUUUUGGCAAUAACAGUAAUGAAGGUGUCAGGGCUCAGAAAAUGACAUGCCAAAUUAUGGCACUUUAGUGUGCUGAGUACUUUGAACUAAAGGAGAUUGGAAUGCCUCAGAAGCAAAGCCACUCUAUCCCCCACCUUUCUGUGUAGGUGUAUAGCAGAUGCAUCUGACAGCAAUAACUUAAGCAUACCCUGAGAAAGACCCUCAAGUCUAAGAAGAAUGUGUGUUUGGAGUUCUGAGCUAAGAAAUCCAGGAGUGGCAAACCUAGAGAUUCGCUCCUUGUCUAUGAAGGACAUAUGACCCCCUGGCCCAUGCCUUGGAAUGCAGGCCAUAUAGGGGAUUAAGGUCCUUUGUUUUGGGUUAUAUGGAGGUUGUUAGGUGGAGGGUGGUAGCAGGUUUUCAGUCCAGCCCACCACCACUGUACUGCCCCAUAUGUAAGUCCUCAGUAAACCCUAUGUGUCAUCUGCUGGUUCCGGGUCUCCUCUCUUCUUCCGCUUCUAGGACAUGGUGCUAUCCCUAUUGGAGUCAGUAGGUCUGGCACAACAGUAGGAGCUGGCCAUAAAGAAAUUCUCUGACCUACCUUGUCUGAUAGCAGGUCAUAAGAUCCUUAUUCCAGAGGGGUCCUGCCCCAUACCUGGGAGAAAGGAAUGCUACACAGAGGUCAAGGAGAAGCCAAACAAGCAGGACUUAAUGGGUUUCCCACUCCGUCUAUUGCCAUUAGAUCAUACAUUUUUUGUGUGGAAUCAUAUUUCUACAUGGUUGUCCAUUCUUCAUGAAAACUAAGAAUAAAAGUAGACAAUUUUCCCUGA